UACGCAAAGGCUAUCCGCUGUGAGUAUGCCCGUGGUGUAGUAUAACUAGCAGAAACUUGCAUUGUGGGAUUCGGGAAUCCUCCAGGAUUAGGAAGGCGGCCCUACCCCUAUCAUUAGCGUGGUGGGCGAGCCGCUAGAAGCAUACAUUUCAUACAGCCACCGCGACGCGACUUUGGUCUGGUCGUUUUGCCAUCGCCUCUACGUUAGCCCCAAGCACAGUGGAAGAGACCGGGCGUUUCCCUUGUGGUGUUGCACUUGCAGUGUGGUGAGUGAGAUUUUACAUAUCAUAAGCUUUUUCACGUUAGAGUGGUGCUGUGUAUUUGCCGUGGGUUGCUGUGUGUCUUGUCAGAGAAACCCCGCACCAUCCAUUCUCUCCCCUGGAAGGAGGACGGAGGGGCCAACGACCGUAGACCUCAUUGCUAUUAUACACUGUGUGCUGUUUUAAGAGUACGAAGAGACGCAGGCCAAGAGCUGUGGAGGACUGUGAGUAUUAUAUUAGAAGCAUUUGUGGUGUGAGCUUAUCUGCGUUUGCAUUGUCGCAGAGUCGGAGGCGAACGGGUCCGCUACCCCCGUGGUCUCUACGAAAGGGCGCCCCUAUCUGGGAUUCGAUCAGCCUACGGACAGUGGGGAUAGGGCAGCGCUCGACCCGGCGAGGUGGUGUGUGACCUUCGCCCCCCUGCUGACCUACAGAAGAACCGACUGUGAGUAACAUCUUAAAAGCAUUUGUGGUGUAAGCUUACCUGUGUUUGUAUUGUCGCAGAGUCGGAGGCGAACGGGUCCGCUGCCCCCGUGGUCUCUACGAAAGGGCGCCCCUAUCCGGGAUUCGAUCGGCCUACGGACAGUGGGGAUAGGGCAGCGCUCGACCCGGCGAGGUGGUGUGUGACCUUCGCCCCCCCUGCUGACCAACAGUAAAGAGCCGACUGUGAACGCGAUACUUACUCAGAGAGCUGUAAGCAGCGGAGCUGGUGAGAACCAUUCAAAGACCAAUAACAGUGUUUCUGUGUCCGAGCGAUCACCUGUGGAGAGAGAGAGGAAAACGAGAGAGAGAGUCAGCAAAGAGCCGACUGUGAACGUGAUACUUACCCAGAGAGCUGUAAGCAGCGGAGCUGGUGAGAACCAUUCAAAGAUCAAUAACAGUGUUUCUGUGUCCUAGCGAUCACCUGUGGAGAGAGAGAGGAAAACGAGAGAGAGAGAGUCAGUAAAGAGCCGACUGUGAACGUGAUACUUACCCAGAGAGCUGUAAGCAGCGGAGCUGGUGAGAACCAUUCAAAGAUCAAUAACAGUGUUUCUGUGUCCUAGCGAUCACCUGUGGAGAGAGAGAGGAAAACGAGAGAGAGAGAGUCAGUAAAGAGCCGACUGUGAACGUGAUACUUACCCAGAGAGCUGUAAGCAGCGGAGCUGGUGAGAACCAUUCAAAGACCAAUAACAGUGUUUCUGUGUCCUAGCGAUCACCUGUGGAGAGAGAGAGGAAAACGAGGGAGAGUCAGUAAAGAGCCGACUGUGAACGUGAUACUUCCCCAGGGAGCUGUAAGCAGCGGAGCUGGUGAGAAACAUUCAAAGACCAAUAACAGUGUUUCUGUGUCCUAGCGAUCACCUGUGGAGAGAGAGAGGAAAACGAGAGUGAAUCAGUGAAGAGCCGACUGUGAACGUGAUACUUACCCAGAAGCUGUAAGCAGCGGAGCUGUGGCCGCCUGUGGAGAGAGAAGAAGGCGAGAGUGAGCCAUUGGGCACGGACAGUGGGAAAGAUCCCUACCAGCCACACCAGAAAUUGUCUGCCUCCAGGAGAGAAGAAGGAGGGCGCCACGGCCAGCAGGGUCCAGGCGGGAGCCUGACGUUUCCCCCUUGUCCCGUUGAUGGUGGUUGGCACCCCUGUUGUUUCCAUCCCUGUCACCCGUGGCUGUAGUCCCCUGGAGGGAGUAGAAGAAGCCAUUAGUUUUAAAUUUCCCUUCCCCAAUUUCCCCAGUCCUUUUAAGUAUUUAAAAAUUCAAUAAAGCUUGUUUUAAAUUUUA
This is a non-coding RNA of Misgurnus anguillicaudatus (oriental weatherfish), 2009 nucleotides long. Lineage: Eukaryota; Metazoa; Chordata; Actinopteri; Cypriniformes; Cobitidae. The record is from RefSeq and is a predicted model, not a curated record.